CUUGAUAAACUUAUAAGAGGUCCAGCCUGCCCAGUGACUCUGUUCAACGGCCGCGGUAUCCUAACCGUGCGAAGGUAGCGUAAUCACUUGUUCUUUAAAUGAGGACUAGUAUGAAUGGCACCACGAAGGUUAUACUGUCUCCUUUUUCUAAUCAGUGAAACUAAUCUUCCCGUGAAGAAGCGGGAAUAAAAAUAUAAGACGAGAAGACCCUAUGGAGCUUUAAACAAAUAUACACCUGCCUUCCAAUUAAAAAUUUCAGUAGACAAAUAAUUACCCAGGCAUUUUGAUAUAGCGUUUUAGGUUGGGGUGACCGCGGAGCAAAAAACAACCUCCGCAACGAACGGGAAAUCUUUCCCUAAACCAAGGGCCACGACCCCAAGUAUCGAUAAAUCGACACUAAUUGACCCAAUAAAUUUGAUCAAUGAAC
This 427-nucleotide ribosomal RNA is filed under the name Leptodactylus notoaktites group sp. ABGD cluster 61. Its description in RNAcentral is "partial large subunit ribosomal RNA". It matches the Rfam family "Bacterial large subunit ribosomal RNA", at positions 1822 to 2457 of the family's 2925-position model. Lineage: Eukaryota; Metazoa; Chordata; Amphibia; Anura; Leptodactylidae. The record is from RNAcentral.